This 89-nucleotide transfer RNA is filed under the name Candidatus Woesearchaeota archaeon. Its description in RNAcentral is "tRNA-Ile". It matches the Rfam family "tRNA". Rfam says of the family: Transfer RNA (tRNA) molecules are approximately 80 nucleotides in length. Their secondary structure includes four short double-helical elements and three loops (D, anti-codon, and T loops). Further hydrogen bonds mediate the characteristic L-shaped molecular structure. tRNAs have two regions of fundamental functional importance: the anti-codon, which is responsible for specific mRNA codon recognition, and the 3' end, to which the tRNAs corresponding amino acid is attached (by aminoacyl-tRNA synthetases). tRNAs cope with the degeneracy of the genetic code in two manners: having more than one tRNA (with a specific anti-codon) for a particular amino acid; and 'wobble' base-pairing, i.e. permitting non-standard base-pairing at the 3rd anti-codon position. The record is from RNAcentral. Lineage: Archaea; Nanobdellati; Candidatus Woesearchaeota.
GCCGCCGUAUGCAUUAACUUGGUAUAUGCGCCAGAUUGAUACUCUGGUGACCCUACCCGGUCGUGUGGGUUCGAAUCCCACCGGCGGCG